AAUGAACGCUGGCGGCAUGCCUAACACAUGCAAGUCGAACGAAGCCUUCGGGCUUAGUGGCGCACGGGUGCGUAACGCGUGGGAAUCUGCCCUUGGGUUCGGAAUAACAGUUAGAAAUGACUGCUAAUACCGAAUGAUGUCGUAAGACCAAAGAUUUAUCGCCCAGGGAUGAGCCCGCGUAGGAUUAGCUAGUUGGUGUGGUAAAGGCGCACCAAGGCGACGAUCCUUAGCGGUCUGAGAGGAUGAUCAGCCACACUGGGACUGAGACACGGCCCAGACUCCUACGGGAGGCAGCAGUGGGGAAGUAUUGGACAAUGGGCGGAAAGCCUGAUCCAGCAAUGCCGCGUGAGGGAUGAAGGCCUUCGGUUG
This 369-nucleotide ribosomal RNA is filed under the name uncultured bacterium. Its description in RNAcentral is "bacterial SSU rRNA". It matches the Rfam family "Bacterial small subunit ribosomal RNA", at positions 29 to 425 of the family's 1533-position model. The record is from RNAcentral.